UACGUAGGGGGCAAGCGUUAUCCGGAUUUACUGGGUGUAAAGGGAGCGCAGACGGAUGGAUAAGUCUGAAGUGAAAGCCCGCGGCUCAACUGCGGGACUGCUUUGAAAACUGUGCAUCUUGAGUACGGGAGGGGCAGGCGGAAUUCCUGGUGUAGCGGUGAAAUGCGUAGAUAUCAGGAGGAACACCGGCGGCGAAGGCGGCCUGCUGGACCGAAACUGACGUUGAGGCUCGAAAGCGUGGGGAGCAAACAGG
RNAcentral lists this ribosomal RNA (253 nucleotides) under uncultured bacterium. RNAcentral describes it as "partial 16S ribosomal RNA". It matches the Rfam family "Bacterial small subunit ribosomal RNA", at positions 524 to 776 of the family's 1533-position model. The record is from RNAcentral.